Long non-coding RNA from Rhopalosiphum maidis (corn leaf aphid), 518 nucleotides. RefSeq lists it as uncharacterized. The record is from RefSeq and is a predicted model, not a curated record. NCBI's taxonomy places the organism in Eukaryota, Metazoa, Arthropoda, Insecta, Hemiptera, Aphididae. The transcript is spliced from 3 exons.
UAUAAAUACUAUUAAGAUCUUUAGACACAGUAUCAGUGAUCUACAGUUAUUACAUCGAUACACGUCGAAUCUUUCACUAGUUGAGUUACCUCAAAUUCACAUCCAAACACCCAUCAUGUACAAGUUUUUGUUAUUGGUUGUUGCCGCUCUGGCUAUGGUCGCCAUUGUUUCUUCCCAAGUCUCUUACACCUACCCACAUACCUACGCACCGCUAUACUCCUACCCAUCGUACCAGUACACUUACCCAGUAGUGUACAAUCCAUACAUCAUUCUACUUCGUCGAUGAACACAUUUUUUACCAACUCUAAACUAUUUGGAGUUAUUGCGCAGUUCAACGCCAAUCUUACGAAAAUUAUGACAGCUUAAAUUGUACUUAUUUUACUACAUUUAUUAUUUGCUAUUUUUUGACUGUUAAUUCUUAUAUCUUGAUGUAAACAUUUAUUUAAUCACAAUGUAAUACUUUUUAAAUUCUUUUUCGAAGAAUCAUUUAAUGUAAUAUAUAUCAUAAUUUAUUGAAA